RNAcentral lists this ribosomal RNA (466 nucleotides) under uncultured bacterium. Its description in RNAcentral is "partial 16S ribosomal RNA". It matches the Rfam family "Bacterial small subunit ribosomal RNA", at positions 28 to 507 of the family's 1533-position model. The record is from RNAcentral.
GACGAACGCUGGCGGCGUGCUUAACACAUGCAAGUCGAACGGAAAGGCCCUGCUUGCAGGGUGCUCGCGUGGCGAACGGGUGAGUAACACGUGGGUGUUCUGCCCCCUACUUUGGGAUAAGACUGGGAAACUGGGUCUAAUACUGGAUAGGACCAUGCUGUCGGCGGUGUGGUGGUUAGAUUGGUUGCGGUAGGGGAUGGGCUCGCGGGUCAUCAGCUUGUUGGUGGGGUAGUGGCUUAUACAGGCUUGGACGGGUAGCCGGCCUGAGAGGGUGACCGGCAAAAUGGGGAAUGAGAUACGGACCAGAGUCCUAGGGGAGGAAGCAGUGGGGAAUAUUGCAAAAUGGGCGGAAGACUGAUGCAGCAACGAAGCGUGAGGGAUGACGGACUUCGGGUUGUAAACCGCUUUCGCCUGUGAAGAAGAGUGAGUGAGGGUAAUGGGUAAAGAAGCAACGGCUAAAUACGUG